This is a long non-coding RNA of Callithrix jacchus (white-tufted-ear marmoset), 1599 nucleotides long. NCBI's taxonomy places the organism in Eukaryota, Metazoa, Chordata, Mammalia, Primates, Cebidae. The record is from Ensembl.
AAAACUGAAUUGCCAUGUAUGGGAAUUCAGUUAUAUUCUCAAUCUUCUGUAAAUUUAUAGCUGUGCAAAAAAAAAAAUCUGUUUAAGGAAAAAAUUACUUGACUGAAAGACAACACUCCAGCCACCCCACCCAUCACACCCACCCCUGCUUUCACAGAGUCAACCUGAUGCAGAAAGUCUAGUCAUGAACUGUGCAGUUCUGGGUAGGUGGAACCUUGUAAAUAUGGAUUAUGCAGCAGGUGAUGUUGUGAAGAGAAGUGCAUUUCAGAGCUCCAGCUUCCCCAUUCUGGAUGUGACUCCCCCUUCCCGUUCCCCCAUAAUGGUAGGGCUAAUACUUACAUAGUAUAUUGGGCUUAAGUUUGUAGCCCACGUAUUGCCUUUCUCCUUCACAGCAGCCAACUCUGUGAAAUACUGUAUCUAUGAAGAAAAUGAGACCUAGAGAAGUCAAGGACCUCGCCCAGGAUCCCUUGCCUGUAAGGAUGAAGCCAGGAUUCAAAUUCAGACAGCCCGGGUCCCAGAGCCAGCAUGCUUUUAACCUCAUUCACCUCUCUUCCAGGUAUCAGACCAACAGAAAACCAUGCAAGACCUGAUUGGAUGAUAUAAAAGGAUGUUGCAUAAGAAUCUGAAGUCGUCAUACACUGAAGAAUAACAAAAGGUAAGAUGACAAGGAAAAUGUACCCCUAAUAGCCAAACCUUGCUUAUUGCUUACCUGCUGCUGAGGGGUGACUAUAUAGAGUGUAGUAUAUGUUAAGGAAUAGGCAUGUCAUAUUUUGUUAAAGAUCCAAUUCAAACUUUUUUUUAUAUGAAGAGUUCAUUUGUUCAGUGAGUGGCUUAAUUUGUUUUUAUAUUGUAGUUGAAUAAUAAUUCUAGAAAGAGGUAUUGGCGUGGAUUUGUGUGGGAGCCUGGGCAACCUCUAAAUGAGAAUAAUAAUAACACCUGCCUCAGGGGCAGUAGUGAACAGUGAACUCCUUAUCCCUUAUAAAGGCUCUCAUCACUGAGCUAGGCACAUGCAGAAUAUUCACUAAAGUUUGGCUAUUAGGAUUGUAAUUGGCCAGGUUAUUAUCCGACAUAAAAAUAUGCCCAAAGUUUCCCAUUUAGAAGCAGAGGACAGGUUUCUAAACGCUACAGAGUUUUUCAUACCUUGUAAUUUAAAUUAUUAAAGGUGGAAAUGUUCGAUUUAAAUUUAGAAAUACAUUUAGAAAUACUGUUUCUUGAAUUUAUUUCUUCUUUACAAAGGCAGAGGUAGGAUUUCUGAUCUAAGGAUAGUCACCUCUCAUUUCUUUUUUUUUUUUUAAUUUAACUUUAGGUACAUGCUAUAUCUGGCAUUUCUCCCCAUAUUAUCCCUCCCCACCCUCCCUGCCACCCCUCAUUUCUAGCUUAUCUUGUCAAGUCAGCAUGCGAUACAGCCCUGACCUCCAUCACUGCAAUACAGAUAAGAAUUUUCACUGCAGUGGUCUCCUUUGCGUCUCUCAAUCAAAUCCAAAUAUCUGGCCCAAGCAUAAGCAUGGUUGAGGAACCAGGGGCAAUGUUUCAUCUAUUAAUCAACAUUUCACAGAUGCAUGGAUGACCAAAUCAGUUUAUGGGAACACAACAGCUGAC